This 391-nucleotide unclassified non-coding RNA is filed under the name uncultured fungus. RNAcentral's name for it is "partial contains small subunit ribosomal RNA, internal transcribed spacer 1, and 5.8S ribosomal RNA". The stretch from base 1 to 73 matches the Rfam family "Eukaryotic small subunit ribosomal RNA", at positions 1759 to 1831 of the family's 1831-position model. The record is from RNAcentral. Lineage: Eukaryota; Fungi.
UCAAACUUGGUCAUUUAGAGGAAGUAAAAGUCGUAACAAGGUAACCGUAGGUGAACCUGCGGUUGGAUCAUUACGAAAUCUAAAAACGUUUGGGAGGGUCAGGAUUUACUCCUCGGAGUGCUGCUCCCUCUCAGACAAACCCCUAUGUGAACGUUUCACGUCUUUUGGCGACCCCUUUGCACGGAAAAAGUGGGAGGCGGAAUGGAGAGGCUAUUUUUUUGGAAACGAGAAAACAGUCUCAUUAAUCUUUUCUCACCCUCCUCUUUUCUCCUGGGUCGCCAGCGUUAUACAAACUCCAUAUAUUUUUAUAUAUCUGAACACAAAUGAGAAACAAUGAGAAACAACUUUAGACAACGGAUCUCUUGGCUCUCGCAUCGAUGAAGAACGCAGC